This 425-nucleotide ribosomal RNA is filed under the name uncultured bacterium. Its description in RNAcentral is "partial 16S ribosomal RNA". It matches the Rfam family "Bacterial small subunit ribosomal RNA", at positions 354 to 796 of the family's 1533-position model. The record is from RNAcentral.
GUUAGGAAUAUUGGACAAUGGGCGCAAGCCUGAUCCAGCCAUGCCGCGUGAACGAUGAAGGCCUUCGGGUUGUAAAGUUCUUUAGCCGACGAUUAUAAUGACUGUAGUCGGAAAAUAAGCCCCGGCUAACUUCGUGCCAGCAGCCGCGGUAAUACGAAGGGGGCGAGCGUUAUUCGGAAUCACUGGGCGUAAAGCGUGCGUAGGCGGUCUCGUAAGUUAGGAGUGAAAGCCCAGGGCUCAACCUUGGAAUUGCUCUUAAAACUGCAAGGCUAGAAUCUCGGAGAGGAUAGCGGAAUUUCCAGUGUAGCAGUGAAAUGCGUAGAUAUUGGAAGGAACACCAGUGGCGUAAGCGGCUAUCUGGACGAGUAUUGACGCUGAGGCACGAAAGCGUGGGGAUCAAACAGGAUUAGAAACCCCAGUAGUCC